Molecule: unclassified non-coding RNA, 6244 nt
Organism: Polistes dominula (European paper wasp)
Lineage: Eukaryota; Metazoa; Arthropoda; Insecta; Hymenoptera; Vespidae
Source: RefSeq, a predicted model, not a curated record
ACAGGUUGGUCAACUAUAGAGAAAUAAAAAUCCGGCUUUCUUUUUAGGUUAUAUUUGUCUUUUCCGUAAGAGCAUAGUGUUGUUGCAAAUGCAUCCAUAUGAUUUAUAGAAAAUAAAUUGAUUGUGUAAAAUGCCUUCUCAAGAAAUUGUGGUUCCGCAACCUCCAACAACCGAAAGCGAAGAUAAUGCACCAUCGUCACAACCUAUCGUUGGAAUUAUUUAUCCUCCUCCAGAGGUUAGGAAUAUCGUUGACAAAACUGCUAGCUUCGUUGCUAGAAAUGGACCAGAAUUUGAAUCGAGAAUUAGACAAAAUGAAUUGGGAAAUCCGAAAUUUAAUUUCUUAAAUUUUGGUGAUCCCUAUCAUGCAUAUUAUCAACAUAAAGUUAAAGAAUUUAAAGAAGGUAAAGCACAAGAACCAUCUGCUGGUACUGGUACUGGUAAAACUGUAAAUCUUACUGCACAUCAAAAGCAACAAGAGAUUUUAAAGCAAGUCGAACAACCUUUCGUACCUAAAGAUCCACCUGCAGAAUUUGAAUUUAUCGCUGAUCCUCCUUCUAUUUCUGCAUUAGAUUUGGAUAUUGUCAAAUUGACAGCACAAUUUGUAGCACGUAAUGGACGUCAAUUUUUAACCAAUUUAAUGAACAGAGAACAACGUAACUUUCAAUUUGAUUUCUUACGUCCUCAACAUUCAUUGUUUCAAUAUUUUACAAAACUUCUUGAACAAUAUACUAAAGUAUUGAUCCCACCUAAGGAUUUAUUACCACGACUGAAAGAUGAAGUUUAUAACAUGGAUAAGAUUUUGGAACAAGUUAAGUAUCGUGCUGAAUGGUUGAAAUAUCAAGAAGCUCAAAGACGUAAAGAGGAGGAAGAAUUAGAACGGGAGAGAGUUGCUUAUGCUCAAAUUGAUUGGCAUGAUUUUGUUGUCGUUGAAACUGUUGAUUAUCAACAAUUUGAAGUGGGUAAUUUUCCAGCACCAACAACUCCUGACGAAGUCGGAGCUAGGGUUCUUAUGCAGGAGCGUAUAGAAGAAGGGGAAGAUGUUGAGAUGCAAAUUGACAGCGAUGGAGAAGAAGAAAUGCAAAAUCGUACCGAUGGUGAAAAAGAUCGUGCGAAGGAUAAUAAUCAAGUACAAGAUAUGGAGGAGGAUUCAAGUGACGACGACGACGUGUCUCCUCCAGGUGAUUCUCACAAAUCUAAAGAAUCUAAGAUACGAGAUGCAAGUAUGCAACCUCCGCCAUUACCACCGACACCUGGUAAUGUUGUUGUCAAGAAAGGAUAUGAUCCAAAACAACAUGCUGUUAAAGCGGCUCGUCCAGUUGCACCUGAUGAAUAUUUGAUUUCUCCGAUUACGGGAGAACGUAUACCUGCUAGUAAAGUUCAAGAGCAUAUGAGAAUAGGUUUAUUGGAUCCACGGUGGGUAGAACAACGGGAUAAACAUUUAGAUAAGUUGGCGCAGCAAACGGUGUUUGCUCCGGGUACUGCAAUUGAGGCCAGUCUUAAGCAACUCGCUGAAAGGCGUACUGAUAUCUUCGGUGUUGGUGAUGAAGAAACAGCGAUUGGUAAAAAGAUCGGCGAAGAGGAUAAGAAGAAAGAUGAUAAAGUUACAUGGGAUGGUCAUACGUCUAGUGUUGAAGCAGCGACUAGAGCAGCUCGAGCAAAUAUUACUUUAGAAGAACAAAUUCAUCAAAUACACAAAGUCAAAGGACUUCUUCCUGAUGAAGAGAAAGAAAAGAUUGGUCCAAAGCCUGCCAAUCGUGCAGCUGAACUUUCUCAUAUGGCUGCUGUUGCAUCUAAGCCUCAAGCUACUCUCAAAGCACCUCCUAAACCACCAGCACCGAAACCAAUACCAGUUCCAGCCCAACCACCACCACCACCAGCUAUGAGUAUGCCUACAAUGGCAAUUCCACAACCAAUGAUGCCGCAGCCACCGAUGAUGAUGAUGGCUCCUAUGCCACCAAUAAGACCACCACCCCUUAUGACACCUACUAUGUCACCAUUUAUGCCAACACCACCACCUAUGCAACCACCAAUGGCAUCAGCUAUCGGUAUCAAACAUACUGCAGAACCUAUGGAGGAAGAACCUCAAGCUAAGAAAUUGCGUUCUGAAGAUACAUUGAUUCCUGAACAAGCAUUCCUUGCUAGAAAUAAGGGUCCGGUACAAUUGAAUAUUGCUGUACCCAUGAUGACAGAGAAGGCUGAAUGGAAAUUAAAUGGACAAACAUUGAGUAUCACUUUGCAACUGACCGAUACUGUCGUAACUAUGAAAGCUUUGAUUCAUGAACAAACUGGUAUGCCACCAGGCAAACAAAAGUUGCAAUACGAGGGAAUGUUCUUUAAAGAUGGUAACACACUUGCUUAUUAUAAUUUAUCAUCUGGAAAUGUCAUCAAUCUUCUUCCCAAGGAAAGAGGUGGCAGAAAAAAAUAAAUGAUCAAUUUUAUAAGAAUCCCGAUUGGAGUUGGUAGCGAAAGAGAUCACGAGAGCAGCAGCAACAAGAGGAGGAGGUGGUGGUGGUGGUGGUGGAGGAUGAGAAGGAAGAGGAAAGGGUGAUGAUGGUGGUGGUCGUCAUCGUUGAAGAAGAGAGAAGAGGUGAAAGGGUUUAGAAACGCAUGGCCCGACCACUCUCAACUUUACUGCCGAGAUAAGAAGAACUGCGCAUACGAGUACAUAUAUAUAUAUAUAUAUAUAUAUAUAUAUAUAUAUAUAAAUAUGCGUUAUUGAAGAUAACAACGUACACCUUGCAGAUAUAUCACCUCUGAAAGACAUCGUGACCGAAAUUCGCCCCGGAAUGUCGACCCCCAGGGUGAAACCACUUCAUAAUGAUCGUUUCUGGCGCCACGCGGAGGCGCUGGCGUCUGCUUGGCUCAGCCGAUAGAGGAACCACGAACGAGCCGACUGACCGAGCCACCCGUCCUCUCUUCAGACGAGUCCAUCUUGCAUUUCUACCUUCCCCUCUUUCUCUUUCCACCCUUCGCCACUUCUUUUCCACUUUAGAUCUUUGUAAAAGAAAGGCCGGCGACCUAACUCCUAGCUUUCCCUUCUAUCUGAUUCAUCCUCUUGCAUUAGUUCCAGACCUAUUAAUCUCGUAUUUUUCUAAGAAUCUUUCCAAAUUUGUCUGCCCAUUUUAAAAAUAACUAAAUAUCUUUCUAAAUAUAUAAUUAAGGUAUUUCUCUCUCUCUCUCUCUCUCUCUCUCAUAGAUUACUAUUUAAGAUAGAUCAUUAGGAGUAAUAAUAUUGAACAAUUAUUCUCAAUAAUGUAGAUAUAACGAGACAAUUUAUCAAUAUUGUAGCAAAGUAUUAAUUGGAGAAUGCCUGAAAUCAUUGGAUAAGACAAAAGCGAAGAAAAGUCAUUAGUUUAGAGAGUGGAACGUAAUGAAAAAAAAUCAGGCGAUAUAUCUCGUAGCGUGUUAGGAUCGACGGCGCCGGUAGUGGAAUAGGGUGGGGGGGUGUCUCUCGAUGGUAGCGCCUCGAGCGGUGAGCGCCGGAAACGGCGCCGUGUCGGCGGCGACGGCGGCGGCCAUGUUUAACAAUCUUCCUUGUGUGUUUAGUAUGCCGCGGUCGGUGUAUCGGCGCGCCGUGACGAAACACACGGAACGAGACGUUGAGCAGAAACGAAGUUGCGGCGGCGGAGAAGAAAAAGGAGAAAAAGUGGGGGAAGUAUCGAGAGGAGUGGGGGAUUAUAGUGAGUAAAGUGGUGGGGGAACUUCGUUGGAAAUCGGUGCGGUUCGAGACGGGAACCUCGUGCGUGGAACGGACAGUCGCGUCGUCGAACUGAGUCGAGUCGAAUCGAAUCGAAUCGCAGUCGAACGACGAACGUCGCCGGGGAACUACUUGCACUUCGUAUUGCACUUCGUCUUCUUAUUCGAGGAAGAAGAAGAAGAAGAAGACUUAAGUUUUUGUGAACUAUUCUCUAAUCAUCAUCAUUGAGAAUAUCAAUUAAAUAUAAUCUAAAAAGUGACAAAGUGCGCGAGGUCUAAUAAGGAAAGGAAAUCAAAGAGGAAGAGACAGACGAGAAUAUCCCGUAACUGUUUCGAAAGAAACAGAGCAAAAAGGCAUAGGAGACAACAAGUAGAAGAGGAGAUAGUAAUAAGCGCACGCGUUACGAAUCAAAAUCUCGCGUGUCCUCGUAUUCUCGUUUAUAUAUUUCUCAUCUCGUUGGCAAAGAGAGAGGAUAGAAAGAGAGAGAGAGAGAGAGGGAGAGAGAGAGAAAGAGGAUUCUUCUUCUUCUCCCCUUCCGUAUUCGAACGUGCCUCCUCUCUCGGUCGUUCUCAGUGGAUCGCGGUAGCAAUUCGAAGAAUGUGACAGUGCGCGUCCUCGCGGUCGGCUCGCGCAAACGAAUCGCCCACCGGCGAUGGAUGAUGAGCGAAAAACACUGCCUGUUGCUGUUGUUCUUUUACUUGUUCUUCGUAUCGCGGUGUGAGAACGUUGAUAAGGAGGAAUAAGAAGAAGGAAGAAGAAAAAGAAAAAGAAAAAGAGAUAGAAGGUUAGAGAAGGGAGAUAGAAAAGGAGAGAAAUCGAAAGUUAAACGACAAUAUCGGGAGAAGUUGAGAGAGAGAGAGAGAGAGAGAGAGAGAAAGAUAGACGAUGCGAGCGGAAAAUGUCAGACGGUGAUACGCGAGCACGGAUGACGGGGAGCGAUCGACGCGACGAUCUCGAGUUGGAGGUUGUUGCAGUGUCGUCGCUGUCCUCCUUCACGUCGUUGCUGUCAUUUUACUUAUUAGUGUCGUUGUCAUCUUCUGGUUCGUCGUCGUGGUCGUGGUUGUCGACGUCGUCAUCGUCGUCGUGGUUGACGUCGUCGUCGUCGUCGUCGUCUUUAAAGUCGACGUCGUCGUCGUUGUCGUCGUCGUCGUCGUUGUCGUCGUCGUCGUGUUGUUCGUCAUCGAACGGCGCCGGCUUGCCGAUAGGAAUAACAGCGCACGCGGUUCGAGAGCACCAGUACCAGCACCAGUACCAGCACCAGUACCAGCAGUACCAGCCUUCGAGAGUAAGGAAAAGUGUCGUUUUGUGUUCGUCGUUAGUUAUAACGAACGAUAAUAUUUCGUUGAUGUUGUGAGAAGUUUUGUUUUUUUCGUCGGUUUGAAGAAAAAGAUAGAAAAAGGGAGAAAGAUAUAGAGAUAGAAGAAAGAAGAGAAAAAUAAAGGAAAAAGAAAUAUUGAAAUAUAAUUAUCGUGUAUGUGUGGUGCGUGUUGGUUGUUGUUAUAAAUACGUUCGUGCCGAACGACUUGUGCAACAAUUUGAAUUUCGCGCGUGUCACGUGCAAUAGUUGUUUGUUGUUGACCACCCUACCUUGGAAUUUCUUUUAUUUUUUCAUAAAUUCUUGUUGGGGUUAUUUUAGUUCUUUUGUUUUUUUGUUUCUCGUGAACUCUCAGUGUUUUACUACUUUUUAACUCGUUACUUCGGGUGAAAAUAAUAAUAAUAAUAAUAACAACAACAACAACAACGAGGAGGGUAGUCGCUCGUUGAACGUUCGAUGCUGACGAAUCGCGUUCUGACGAAGAGAAGAAGAAAAAAAAGAAGAAGAAGAGGAGGAGCUGGCGGAGGAAUAGGAGAAGAAAUAGAAGAAGAAGAAGAGGAGCGUUUUCUUUCUCCCCUCUACUACCAUUGCCGACACUCGCGUCGCGACGAUAAUAAACGUCGGGAAAGAGAUAAAGUUUUGAGGAGCAGGAGGGAAAGGGAAAGAAAAAGAAAGAAAGAGACAGAGAAUCUAGAGUGCGCCAGCGCAUCCACCCUCUUUCUCUCGCCUUCUUCUUCGCCAACCACGUCGACGCGUAGGUAAAUGAGAGUUCAAGGUCAGCCGAGCGGUACUCGACCUAACCUCCUUCGUCUUAGUCGUGUCGUCGUCGUGCGAAAUCGUCAACCCACGAGGAGGACCGUUGUUAGUUUUUACCCCCCGACCCCCCAACCCUCUCUACCUCCUUUCAAAAGAUUUCUGACGAGAAGAAAUAAGAUAGAAGAGGGAAUAUACAACACACACACACACACACAACACUCUUUUCUCGAGAAGACGACACGCGUAGUAGUAGUUGUGUGUUCAAAAAUCUCCUCCGAGCUUCGUUUAAACGAAGUUAGUAGGGAGAAGUAGGGCUGACAGACACAGAAAGAGAGAAAGAGAAAGAGAGACUGUCACGCUAUUUCGGGAACGCGCGAUCUAAAGUGCGCCGAGAUAUACGCUGAACGUAAAUAAAUAUACGUGGCCCGUCGAGCUCUUCCACCGGCUCGCGUUCUCUUCUUCCCUUCGUGAAAGAA